AGUUACGUCGUUUUACUAAGUAAGAACUAACACCGAAGGUAGGAGACGAAACCGAAGAGUAAAACUUUUACUAGUGGCGGACGGGUGAGUAACACGUGAAGAACCUGCCUUACAGAGGGGGCGAACAGCUGGAAACGGCUGCUAAUACCGCAUAAUACCAUUUUGGGGCAUCCUGAGAUGGUCAAAGGAGCAAUCCGCUGUAAGAUGGCUUCGCGUCCGAUUAGACAGUUGGCGGGGUAACGGCCCACCAAAUCUACGAUCGGUAGCCGGACUGAGAGGUUGAACGGCCACAUUGGGACUGAGACACGGCCCAGACUCCUACGGGAGGCAGCAGUGGGGGAUAUUGCACAAUGGAGGAAACUCUGAUGCAGCGACGCCGCGUGAGGGAAGAAGGUUUUCGGAUUGUAAACCUCUGUCUUCGGUGACGAAAAAUGACGGUAGCCGAGGAGGAAGCCACGGCUAACUACGUGCC
Molecule: ribosomal RNA, 472 nt
Filed under: uncultured bacterium
Lineage: Bacteria
Description: bacterial SSU rRNA
Rfam family: Bacterial small subunit ribosomal RNA
Source: RNAcentral